This 461-nucleotide small RNA is filed under the name Oryza sativa Japonica Group (Japanese rice). RNAcentral describes it as "sRNA Os04g0616266". The record is from RNAcentral. Lineage: Eukaryota; Viridiplantae; Streptophyta; Magnoliopsida; Poales; Poaceae.
UACCCUUUCAAAUAUGUAAGUUCUGUCUUCCUCAAGUGUAUUCUGGUAGUUUGAUUCACCAGCAACAGUCUCCAACGCGACCACGCCGAAUGCAAACACAUCAACUUUCUCAGUCAUAUGACCUCUCAUGGCAUACUCAGGUGCAAGGUAGCCACUGGGCAAAGUGAAGUCGACCAAUGGCAGUUAGAACAUAUCCGUCAAUAGCACAGUAACAUAGAACAGUCAGGUGAUAGAUCACUUACAAUGUGCCAGCAACUUUUGUGCUGACGUGAGUUUUCUUGUUAUCAUAGAGCUUGGCAAGCCCAAAAUCUGAAAUCUUAGGGUUGAGACCGGCAUCUAGCAAGACAUUACUGGCCUUUAUGUCCCUGUGCACGAUGCGGACGGUAGAAUCCUCGUGAAGAUAAGCUAUACCUCUUGCUAGGCCUAAGCAUAUCUCAAAUCUUGUUGGCCAAUCCAGGUUC